AGUGCUCAGCCCCCAGCCUGUGCUCACAUCAGACCACACAUCAGUCUGCGAUCAUGGCACAACUCAUACCAACAGCUGGACUACAAUUGGCAAGUCUGGAUUUAUUAUAAGGCUUAGAGGUGCUGGGAACUAGAGGCUGAGAGUGAUGGGGGAAUCGGUCUAGUGCCAGAAGUCCUCCCAUAUAUGUAGAAGAGAUUCAACGCCCCCUCCUUUCAACACCUUUCGAACCUCAGAAUUGGGAGAGCUGUGUUUGACAAUUCGACAAGCUUUACAAAACAAUUGGCCAGGUGUGAGGAGGCGCAAGUGAAUGCUGAACCUCCUCAUGUUGGAAGACAGUGCCAGCCACUAACGCUUUCAUUUCACAUCGAUUUUACAAAAUGGAAACAAAUCGAACUGGAUCAAACCAAAUUCAAGAAGAGGAAGUGCAACAGAAGAAUGCAAUUUGACUAUAAAGGUGCUUUAGGAUGGUUAAAACAGUAACAGGUCAAUAGAAACCACAGAAAAAGCAGCUGACAACUAGUAGUUUAAAUUAUCUGGCUAAACUGCUGUUCUGCUGAUAUUAGUCAAGUAGGGAAAAUAUGCGGCAUAAAAAAAACAAUAUGUCAGAGAAAUACAAAUCUGGUUUAGCAAGAACUUUUUGGGGGCUUUGUGCCUAUUCAGGAAUCUGCUUCAGAAGUUAUACUGAAAAUGGAGAAGUUUCCAACCUCUCUUUCAGGUUUCUGACACAAACCUAAGGCAUUUAGCUCAUAUUAUGUUUUCUGGAGUCUUUCACUGACCUUCUUUUCUCUUGUUGCAAUACAAUGAGGUUGACAGACUGGAAAAGCUUGUUUGGGACAGAGAAAAGUGGCAGAGAUGGAAUAUCAGACCAGUAACCCUUAAAGGCUACGGAGGGGGUGGGAUCUCUCACACCGACUCAUUGUGACUUCCCUACUAAAUUUUCAUGGAAAAAAAACAAAAAAAAACAGGUGUUAACUGGUACAAGGCUGAAACAGCUAAGUAUUACAAGAGUGAGAAGAAUCUUAUUUCACACACUGACAAAAGCAAACAGCUGCACAUGUUGCUUGCAUGUGUUUUCAGCAGCUACAAGCAGACCAUAUCACAUUAGCCAUCACAUUAACAGGUCUUUAUUGCUGCAGUUUGUGGGUAAAUAUUUUGAGAGUUUUGCCUACAGAAACUUGACUCUUUUUGAGGACACAAGCUAGAAGUUAUCUGGCCAUAAAAUGGAGAUUAGCACACAAGGAGUUUCUAGAUGGAAAAUGAAUGUUUUGGGAGCUGAAAUGUGAACUGCUGUUUGAGCUUUUGAAGAUAAAAUGUCUCCCCGGUGAAGACAAUAAAAAUCCUUAAAUCAGAUCAAAA
This is a long non-coding RNA of Acanthochromis polyacanthus (spiny chromis), 1356 nucleotides long. RefSeq lists it as uncharacterized. The record is from RefSeq and is a predicted model, not a curated record. The transcript has 2 exons. Lineage: Eukaryota; Metazoa; Chordata; Actinopteri; Pomacentridae.